CCUACGGGAGGCAGCAGUAGGGAAUAUUGCUCAAUGAGGGAAACCCUGAAGCAGCAACGCCGCGUGGAGGAUGAAGGUUUUCGGAUUGUAAACUCCUUUUGUUAGAGAAGAUAAUGACGGUAUCUAACGAAUAAGCACCGGCUAAAUCCGUGCCAGCAGCCGCGGUAAUACGGAGGGUGCAAGCGUUACUCGGAAUCACUGGGCGUAAAGGGCGCGUAGGCGGGAUAGCAAGUCAGAUGUGAAAUCCUAUGGCUUAACCAUAGAACUGCAUUUGAAACUGUUAUUCUAGAGUAUGGGAGAGGUAGGUGGAAUUCUUGGUGUAGGGGUAAAAUCCGUAGAGAUCAAGAGGAAUACUCAUUGCGAAGGCGACCUGCUAGAACAUAACUGACGCUGAUGCGCGAAAGCGUGGGGAGCAAACAGGAUUAGAUACCCCAGUAGUC
This 440-nucleotide ribosomal RNA is filed under the name uncultured bacterium. RNAcentral describes it as "partial 16S ribosomal RNA". It matches the Rfam family "Bacterial small subunit ribosomal RNA", at positions 338 to 795 of the family's 1533-position model. The record is from RNAcentral.